AAACGGUGGCUAAUACCGCAUAACGUCGCAAGACCAAAGAGGGGGACCUUCGGGCCUCUUGCCAUCAGAUGUGCCCAGAUGGGAUUAGCUUGUUGGUGAGGUAACGGCUCACCAAGGCGACGAUCCCUAGCUGGUCUGAGAGGAUGACCAGCCACACUGGAACUGAGACACGGUCCAGACUCCUACGGGAGGCAGCAGUGGGGAAUAUUGCACAAUGGGCGCAAGCCUGAUGCAGCCAUGCCGCGUGUAUGAAGAAGGCCUUCGGGUUGUAAAGUACUUUCAGCGGGGAGGAAGGUGUUGUGGUUAAUAACCGCAGCAAUUGACGUUACCCGCAGAAGAAGCACCGGCUAACUCCGUGCCAGCAGCCGCGGUAAUACGGAGGGUGCAAGCGUUAAUCGGAAUUACUGGGCGUAAAGCGCACGCAGGCGGUCUGUCAAGUCGGAUGUGAAAUCCCCGGGCUCAACCUGGGAACUGCAUUCGAAACUGGCAGGCUUGAGUCUUGUAGAGGGGGGUAGAAUUCCAGGUGUAGCGGUGAAAUGCGUAGAGAUCUGGAGGAAUACCGGUGGCGAAGGCGGCCCCCUGGACAAAGACUGACGCUCAGGUGCGAAAGCGUGGGGAGCAAACAGGAUUAGAUACCCUGGUAGUCCACGCCGUAAACGAUGUCUACUUGGAGGUUGUGCCCUUGAGGCGUGGCUUCCGGAGCUAACGCGUUAAGUAGACCGCCUGGGGAGUACGGCCGCAAGGUUAAAACUCAAAUGAAUUGACGGGGGCCCGCACAAGCGGUGGAGCAUGUGGUUUAAUUCGAUGCAACGCGAAGAACCUUACCUGGUCUUGACAUCCACAGAAGAAUCCAGAGAUGGAUUGGUGCCUUCGGGAACUGUGAGACAGGUGCUGCAUGGCUGUCGUCAGCUCGUGUUGUGAAAUGUUGGGUUAAGUCCCGCAACGAGCGCAAC
This 953-nucleotide ribosomal RNA is filed under the name Salmonella enterica subsp. enterica serovar Typhimurium. RNAcentral's name for it is "bacterial SSU rRNA". It matches the Rfam family "Bacterial small subunit ribosomal RNA", at positions 154 to 1102 of the family's 1533-position model. The record is from RNAcentral. Lineage: Bacteria; Pseudomonadati; Pseudomonadota; Gammaproteobacteria; Enterobacterales; Enterobacteriaceae.